UCCGCCGCGAUUCGCCCUUACGGCUCAGUAACACGUAGAUAAUCUGCCCUAUGGCGAGAAUAACGUCGGGAAACUGACACUAAUACUCGAUACGAGAUGGUUUCUGGAAUGAGCUAUCUCUGAAGCGUAGGAUGAGUCUGCGGCUGAUUAGGCUGUUGGCGGGGUAAUGGCCCACCAAACCUUUGAUCAGUAAGGGCCCUUAGCGGGGAAACCCUGAGAACGAGUCUGAGACACUACUCGUAGCCCUACGGGGUGCAGCAGUUAGGGAUUUUUUGCAAUGCGCGUGAGCGUGACAGAGCGAGCCAGAGUGAUUUUCCAUACUGGAAAAUCUUUUGCCAGCUGUAAAAAGGCUGGCGAAUAAGGACUGGGCAAGACCGGUGCCAGCCGCCGCGGUAAUCCCGGCAGUCCAAGUCGCAGCCACAAUUAUUGGGUCUAAAACAUCCGUAGCUUGCUUUGCAAGUUUGUUGUGAAAUUCUGUCUCUUAAGGGCAGAGAUUGCAAUGAAUACUGCUUAGCUAGAGACUAGGGGACGCGAGAAGUACAUCUGAGGUAGUGGUAAAAUACGUUAAUCUCAGGUGGACUAACGAUUAGCGAAGGCAUCUCGCGAUAAUAGUUCUGACAGUGAGGGAUGAAGGCUAGGGGCGCAAAUUGGAUUAGAUACCCAAGUAGUCCUAGCAGUAAACACUGCGCACUAAACCUUGUGACCUCCUCGAGAGGUUGCACGGCUGCAGCGAAGCGAAGAGUGCGCUACCUGGAAGUAUAGCCGCAAGCCGAAACUUAAAGAUGGCGGGGAGCACAAGGCGAAUCGUUAAACUGCAGACUAGUCCUUAGUGAGGUAUCUGAGCUGCGUAUCAUGUCAUAGCUGUCUGGUGAAUGUUAUCGCUCACAUCACCAACAUCGGUCGAAGCUAUAUUCAGCUGGUUCUAAUGAGUGGCUA
Molecule: ribosomal RNA, 936 nt
Filed under: uncultured archaeon
Lineage: Archaea
Description: partial 16S ribosomal RNA
Rfam family: Archaeal small subunit ribosomal RNA (bases 1-817)
Source: RNAcentral